GCCUAGUUAGCUUGGUUGGUAGCGCGUCUGCCUCGUAAGCGCUAGGCCGCGGGUUCGAUUCCCGUCCGGGGCG
Molecule: transfer RNA, 73 nt
Filed under: Diaphorina citri (Asian citrus psyllid)
Lineage: Eukaryota; Metazoa; Arthropoda; Insecta; Hemiptera; Psyllidae
Rfam family: tRNA
About the family: Transfer RNA (tRNA) molecules are approximately 80 nucleotides in length. Their secondary structure includes four short double-helical elements and three loops (D, anti-codon, and T loops).
Source: Rfam by way of RNAcentral